This 259-nucleotide ribosomal RNA is filed under the name Escherichia coli. RNAcentral describes it as "partial 16S ribosomal RNA". It matches the Rfam family "Bacterial small subunit ribosomal RNA", at positions 1275 to 1533 of the family's 1533-position model. The record is from RNAcentral. RNAcentral also lists the same sequence under 8 other names. Lineage: Bacteria; Pseudomonadati; Pseudomonadota; Gammaproteobacteria; Enterobacterales; Enterobacteriaceae.
CAUAAAGUGCGUCGUAGUCCGGAUUGGAGUCUGCAACUCGACUCCAUGAAGUCGGAAUCGCUAGUAAUCGUGGAUCAGAAUGCCACGGUGAAUACGUUCCCGGGCCUUGUACACACCGCCCGUCACACCAUGGGAGUGGGUUGCAAAAGAAGUAGGUAGCUUAACCUUCGGGAGGGCGCUUACCACUUUGUGAUUCAUGACUGGGGUGAAGUCGUAACAAGGUAACCGUAGGGGAACCUGCGGUUGGAUCACCUCCUUA